CCACAAACACCGUAUCCCCGGCCGGCAAGCAUGGCGCACGCGCGUAUUCUUCGUCAUACUCACGCAUCGCGUGGUCUUGGAUACUACGUACGUACGGCACGCACGCACACAUGAUGUGCAUGCAUGGUUAAAGGCACUUGAAGCCCGUGGGGACGCCCUUGCCGCAGAAGUUGAGGACGAGGCUGAGGUUGACGGGGAUGUUGAGGUUGAGCCCCAGCACGUUGGCCUUGAUGGCCGUGCAGAGGCACACGGCGGCUUCGAGCUCCACGAGCCCGUUCAGCAGCGGGCAGCACGGCUCGUUCACCGGCACGCCGACCUUGGCCUUGAUCAGAUCCAGCACGUUGGCGCACACGCCGAGCUUCAGCGCGUUUGUCGGGCAAUGGCCGUACCAGCCGCUCGUGCCAUCGUUGCCACCGCCACCGCCACCGCUCCCACCUCCACCGCCACCGCCACCGAUGGGGCCGUACCCACCACCGCUGCCACCUCCUAUGGGUCCGAUCCCCCCGCUGCCGCCUCCGAUGGGUCCGAUCCCACCGCCGCUGCCACCAUCACCGAUCGGACCGUACCCUCCUCCGCCGCCGCUGCCACCACCACCACCGAUCGGACCGUACCCUCCGCCGCUGCUGCCCCCACCUGGCCCGCUGCCGCCACCGGAACCGCCGGUGCCACCGCCGCCAUGCCCACUGCCGCCAUGGUGCCCGCUGCUACCGUGGCCAUUGUUGCCCGGGCAGUAAGGGCAGGCGUUGGCCGCCGCGAAGAGCAGGAGGUUGAGGACGAGGAACAGUGGCACCUUGCUGGACGCCAUUGGUCACGAGCAUGCGCAGGCGCAGCUAGGCUAGCCUAAGCUAAGCACCACCCGCUGUGGCAGCUGCAGGUGUGGAUCUACGAGCUGAGUGCAAAGAAGGUCGCUUUAUAUAUAUGGAGAUCUCGCUAGCUCCUACUACUUCAAAGUACUAGCGUAGGGUAGGUCGGGCAAAAUCAGCGAUCAGCAAAGCAAAGCAAGGUGCAGUGCAGGAGACUGGAGCGGGAAGCAAUAGA
Molecule: unclassified non-coding RNA, 1038 nt
Filed under: Zea mays
Lineage: Eukaryota; Viridiplantae; Streptophyta; Magnoliopsida; Poales; Poaceae
Description: misc RNA Zm00001eb023580
Source: RNAcentral